AGCCUGGAAGCUGGAGCCUGCAGU
Molecule: microRNA, 24 nt
Filed under: Homo sapiens (human)
Lineage: Eukaryota; Metazoa; Chordata; Mammalia; Primates; Hominidae
Description: hsa-miR-1254
Source: RNAcentral